AAGGGACCAGAUUGCAUCAGAAACAUCGAGAGAGACUGAGAGAGAUCGACCCAUUCUUGAGACUCGGAGACCCGAUCAUGUGACCCGACCGGAGUGACGCCGUCCGGCCACCGAUCGACGACGCACGACCACCGAUAUCUUCCUCUCGUCAUCGCCGUCACGUCUGCGGUCUCGGAUUGCCCAUGCACUCGGCGAGGAGGGAGAAUCGACGGUGAGAAGACUUGACUGCUCCGGUGAAUUUCUACGAUUUCCGGCCUCCGUUUGGACCGCAUUCGCAGGAACUCGGGCUUGGUCGAUCUAAAUUUCAUCUCUUGAGAAGUGAGAUGCAAACCCGAGCGUGAUCGAAGAGUAGCAAGACUAUUAACCUGGAAACUAGAAUGCUUCCUGCAUGGAGUUUGUGUUCGCAGCAACCCAGACUUAAUCACCAUGAUUCAUGCAAUUGAGGACUCCAGUUACCCGAGGAACGGAAGGUUCGCGACUCUCGGAAUACGUGAGAGAAAGCGUCGGAAUCCAGGUAGGGAUUCAGGACUCUCCUCGGUUGGUGAUUUUCUUUUAUAUUUUAUUAAUGUGAUGCAUGAUAAGUGGUAUGGGUUGGUUAUGUAAAAUGCAAUGCAUACUAACCAAUCCGUGAGAAAAUGUGUGAUGGCUUGAGAGCGAAGGGUGUCUCUGACUUCCUUGGGUUCGAUCCCCUUAACCUCCGAAGGGUUAGUUACGCCGGUCGUCCGGGUAUUCCGAUCGUAAUAACGGGCCCGGUACGUGUGUGUAGCUAGGUAGUGGACGCUCUCGCUACGCUUACCUGGUGAUAAAUUAAUUUGAGGUAAGGUCGUGUAAUGGGUCUAUGGGACCGGCCAUCAGGUAAUACUUGGAUUUGGCGUCGUAUUUAUUUAAGCAUCAUGCAUCGGUUUUCAAGUUGAAAAACAUUAAAGUUUGUCCUUCUUUUAAAUAUUUGGUUUAAAUAUGUUUUCAUAUUGGGCAGCCCAAAUAUUUGUUUAUUGGUUUUAAGUCUAGUUGAGGUAGAGUUCCUGUUGAGCAGUGAGGACGAAAGCUCACC
This is a long non-coding RNA of Rosa rugosa (rugosa rose), 1051 nucleotides long. RefSeq lists it as uncharacterized. NCBI's taxonomy places the organism in Eukaryota, Viridiplantae, Streptophyta, Magnoliopsida, Rosales, Rosaceae. The record is from RefSeq and is a predicted model, not a curated record. The transcript has 3 exons.